CCUCUCAUGGCGUAGUGGUUAACGCGCUCCAAGUAGAGAUCGGGGAGUCGUGAGUUCGAUUCUCACUGAGAAGA
This 74-nucleotide transfer RNA is filed under the name Aedes aegypti (yellow fever mosquito). It matches the Rfam family "tRNA". From Rfam's summary of the family: Transfer RNA (tRNA) molecules are approximately 80 nucleotides in length. Their secondary structure includes four short double-helical elements and three loops (D, anti-codon, and T loops). Lineage: Eukaryota; Metazoa; Arthropoda; Insecta; Diptera; Culicidae. The record is from Rfam by way of RNAcentral.